This 468-nucleotide ribosomal RNA is filed under the name uncultured bacterium. RNAcentral describes it as "partial 16S ribosomal RNA". It matches the Rfam family "Bacterial small subunit ribosomal RNA", at positions 28 to 507 of the family's 1533-position model. The record is from RNAcentral.
GGCGAACGCUGGCGGCGUGCUUAACACAUGCAAGUCGAACGGAAAGGCCCUGCUUUUGUGGGGUGCUCGAGUGGCGAACGGGUGAGUAACACGUGAGUAACCUGCCCUUGACUUUGGGAUAACUUCAGGAAACUGGGGCUAAUACCGGAUAGGAGCUCCUGCUGCAUGGUGGGGGUUGGAAAGUUUCGGCGGUUGGGGAUGGACUCGCGGCUUAUCAGCUUGUUGGUGGGGUAGUGGCUUACCAAGGCUUUGACGGGUAGCCGGACUGAGAGGGAGACCGGCCACAUUGGGACUGAGAUACGGCCCAGACUCCUACGGGAGGCAGCAGUGGGGAAUAUUGCACAAUGGGCGGAAGCCUGAUGCAGCAACGCCGCGUGCGGGAUGACGGCCUUCGGGUUGUAAACCGCUUUCGCCUGUGACGAAGCGUGAGUGACGGUAAUGGGUAAAGAAGCACCGGCUAACUACGUG